Molecule: transfer RNA, 74 nt
Filed under: Chrysemys picta bellii (western painted turtle)
Lineage: Eukaryota; Metazoa; Chordata; Testudines; Emydidae
Also listed under: 1 other name
Description: tRNA-Thr (TGT) (tRNA-Thr-TGT-7-1)
Rfam family: tRNA
About the family: Transfer RNA (tRNA) molecules are approximately 80 nucleotides in length.
Source: Rfam by way of RNAcentral
GGCACUAUGGCUUAGCUGGCUAAAGCACCUGUUUUGUAAACAGGAGACCCUGAGUUCAACUCCCAGUGGUGCCU